RNAcentral lists this ribosomal RNA (534 nucleotides) under uncultured bacterium. Its description in RNAcentral is "bacterial SSU rRNA". It matches the Rfam family "Bacterial small subunit ribosomal RNA", at positions 153 to 719 of the family's 1533-position model. The record is from RNAcentral.
GAAACCCAGGCUAAUACCGCAUACGCCCUUCGGGGGAAAGGCUUCGGCCGCUAUUAGAUGAGCCUAUGUCUGAUUAGCUUGUUGGUGGGGUAAUGGCCUACCAAGGCGACGAUCAGUAGCUGGUCUGAGAGGACGAUCAGCCACACUGGGACUGAGACACGGCCCAGACUCCUACGGGAGGCAGCAGUGGGGAAUAUUGGACAAUGGGCGAAAGCCUGAUCCAGCAAUGCCGCGUGUGUGAAGAAGGCCUGCGGGUUGUAAAGCACUUUCAGAUGGGAAGAUAAUGACGGUACCAUCAGAAGAAGCACCGGCUAACUCUGUGCCAGCAGCCGCGGUAAUACAGAGGGUGCAAGCGUUAAUCGGAAUUACUGGGCGUAAAGCGCGCGUAGGCGGUUUGUUAAGUCGGAUGUGAAAGCCCCGGGCUCAACCUGGGAACUGCAUUCGAAACUGGCAGGCUAGAGUAUGGUAGAGGGAAGUGGAAUUCCGGGUGUAGCGGUGAAAUGCGUAGAUAUCCGGAGGAACAUCAGUGGCGAA